AUACGUAGGUGGCGAGCGUUGUCCGGAUUUACUGGGCGUAAAGGGAGCGUAGGCGGAUUUUUAAGUGAGAUGUGAAAUACUCGGGCUUAACCUGAGUGCUGCAUUUCAAACUGGAAGUCUAGAGUGCAGGAGAGGAGAAGGGAAUUCCUAGUGUAGCGGUGAAAUGCGUAGAGAUUAGGAAGAACACCAGUGGCGAAGGCGCUUCUCUGGACUGUAACUGACGCUGAGGCUCGAAAGCGUGGGGAGCAAACAGGAUUAGAUACCCUGUGUAGUCCACGCCGUAAACGAUGAAUACUAGGUGUAGGGGUUGUCAUGACCUCUGUGCCGCCGCUAACGCAUUAAGUAUUCCGCCUGGGGAGUACGGUCGCAAGAUUAAAACUCAAAGGAAUUGACGGGGGCCCGCACAAGCAGCGGAGCAUGUGGUUUAAUUCGAAGCAACGCGAAGAACCUUACCUAGACUUGACAUCUCCUGCAUUACUCUUAAUCGAGGAAGUCUCUUCGGGGACAGGAUGACAGGUGGUGCAUGGUUGUCGUCAGCUCGUGUCGUGAGAUGUUGGGUUAAGUCCCGCAACGAGCGCAACCCUUAUUGUUAGUUGCCAUCAUUCAGUUGGGCACUCUAGCGAGACUGCCGGUAAUAAACCGGAGGAAGGUGGGGAUGACGUCAAAUCAUCAUGCCCCUUAUGACCUGGGCUACACACGUGCUACAAUGGUUGGUACAACGAGUCGCAAGUCGGUGACGGCAAGCAAAUCUCUUAAAGCCAAUCUCAGUUCGGAUUGUAGGCUGCAACUCGCCUACAUGAAGUCGGAAUCGCUAGUAAUCGCGGAUCAGCACGCCGCGGUGAUACGUUCCCGG
This 853-nucleotide ribosomal RNA is filed under the name uncultured Bacillota bacterium. RNAcentral's name for it is "bacterial SSU rRNA". It matches the Rfam family "Bacterial small subunit ribosomal RNA", at positions 523 to 1377 of the family's 1533-position model. Lineage: Bacteria; Bacillati; Bacillota. The record is from RNAcentral.